CAUGCCCAGUGAUCCAGGAGGACUGCGCGGACAGAUCUGCCGGCGCCCUGUCUGGGAAUUGGCAAGCGGCGGCGCCUGGCAGGACUGGACCAACUCUGGCGCAGGGUCCUGGGGGCCUCGUGGGUUGAGACCACCUCGGUUUGGGACAUGCUGGCUUGAGCCUGGGGUCCUGGCAUGGAAUUCCUAACAGCCUCCCAACCUCCUCCAGGAUCUCCAGCCUCCCAACCUCCUCCAGGAUCUCCAGCCAUGGAGUUGGAGGAACCCAAGGAUACACUUUUGCCCUCUCAGGAUCUCUCCUCUGAUUGCCAGUGGGACCCAGCGCCAGGAGGCCAUAGCAGCCUGAGUCAAAUGGAACUUGAUGGGCUAAAUAUUCAGGACCUGGUACAACAGUUUGAAGCUCUGCCAGGUGAUCUGGUGGGCCUGUCCCCAGAUGGAGCCCCAUGUCCCCUGCACAUUGCCACUGGCCAUGGUCUGGCCUCACAGGACAUCACCGAUGCCCAUGGGCUCUUGUCUGCUGAGGCUGGCCGCGAUGACUUGCUGAGCCUUUUGCAGCAAGAUGAGUGCCCUCCUUCCCAGUUGUGUCCCCAGGAACCUCUGGACCCUGCUCCUCGCCUGUUGCAGCCCCCUGAGGACCCAGAGGAAGAUGCUGGCCCUCAGGAGUGGGCUGAGGGAGCCUCUGCUGAGCGGGGUGGCAGUGGGAGUUCAAGCAGCUCCCCGGAACCCUGGCUGGAGACAGUACCUCUGGUUGCUCCUGAAGAGCCACCUGCCAAUGUCAAGAGUCCCGAGACCCUGGCUUCAUACCCUGCCCUCCAGGAGGUAUCCGGCCCCUGUGAUCAUGAAGACCUCCUAGAUGGUGUCAUGUUUGGGGCCAAAUACCUGGGCUCCACCCAGCUGGUGUCCGAGCGCAACCCGCCCCCCAGCACACGCAUGGCGCAGGCUCAGGAGGCCAUGGACCGCGUCAAGGCCCCUGAUGGGGAGACUCAGCCCAUGACGGAGGUGGACCUCUUCGUCUCCACCAAGAGGGUCAAGGUUCUGAUGGCCAACUCUCAGGAGGCCAUGAUGGACCACGCCCUGCAGACCAUCUCCUACAUCGCUGACAUUGGCAGCGUGCUGGUGCUCAUGGCCCGGCGGAGGGUGGCCCGGCGUCCGGCACCCCAGGCCCAUAGCCGCCGGCUCUACAAGAUGAUUUGCCACGUGUUCCACUCAGAGGAUGCUCAACUCAUCGCUCAGGCCAUCGGCCAGGCCUUUGCAGUGGCCUACAGUCAGUUCCUGAGGGAAAGUGGGAUCGACCCCAGCCAGGUGGGCACUCAGCAGAGCCAGGGGGCCACAGGCCCCGGGCACCUCCACAACGGGGACCUCGACCACUUCUCCAACAGUGAAAACUGCAGGGAGGUAUGCAUCGAGAAACGCCGGGGCGAGGGUCUGGGUGUGGCCCUGGUGGAGUCGGGUUGGGGCUCCUUGCUCCCCACAGCUGUCAUCGCCAACCUGCUGCAUGGGGGCCCAGCCGAGCGCUCUGGGGCCCUUAGCAUCGGGGACCGCAUCACCGCCAUCAACGGGACCAGCCUGGUGGGGCUUCCCCUGGCCGCCUGCCAGGCCGCCGUCCGCGAAGUGAAGUCGCAGACGCUGGUGACCCUCAGCAUCGUCCACUGCCCUCCCGUCACCACGGCCAUCAUCCGCCGGCCCCACGUCCGCGAGCAGCUGGGCUUCUGCGUAGAGGAUGGCAUUAUCUGCAGCCUUCUCCGGGGUGGUAUCGCCGAGCGCGGGGGCGUCCGAGUGGGACACCGCAUCAUUGAGAUCAAUGGGCACAGUGUGGUGGCCACACCCCACGACCGUAUCAUUGAGCUGCUCACCGAGGCCCAUAUUGAGGUCCACAUCAAGACGAUGCCUGCUGCCACCUACCGCCUGCUCACAGGCCAGGAGCAGCCUGUGUACCUGUGACCCACGACCUUCACCCCCACCACUGUGCCUUAGUCCCCCCAGCCCUGGAACUCCUGCAGACUCGCCUCGGCUGGCCACGGCCCCAAAGCUAUCCCUGGCGUCUGUUGGAGCAACUGAGCCCAGCUAACUCACUGAGUAAAGUCGUUUGGACAGAAACCAUCUGGCCUGCAAAGCCUAAAAUACUUGCCGCCUAGUCCUUUGCAGGAAGAGCUUGUCGACCCUUGGCCUCACUGACACUCCCUUUUACCAAUGAGGAAGCAGGUGCAGAAGGCAUCUUGGCCUGAGAAAAGUUCCCAAGCUAGGGGUUGAAUAGGAGCUGUAGCCACUGGCCUAAGCCAGAGCCACAGCAACGUGGGAUCCAAGCCGCGUCUGCAACCUACACCACAGCUCACGGCAACGCCGGAUCGUUAACCCACUGAGCAAGGGCAGGGACCGAACCCGCAACCUCAUGGUUCCCAGUCGGAUUCGUCAACCACUGCGCCACGACAGGAACUCCUAUUCUCACUCUUAAAAGCUCGACGUACAUUCAGAUUUCUAGACUCUCAUUGGCCUUGGGGUAGACAUUAAGUACAUGGCCUUUUAUGUUUAAGCCUUUUUGGUCUGGAUGUUGGAGCAGCAGCUGAAGAGCAGCUCGGCCCUUUCCCAUUCUGGGUCACCUGUUAUUCCCCUCCUCCCGCUGCCGUUUUCUUUAAAAGCCUCUGCACCUGGUUUUAAUCCUUCUGCUCUGAGGCUGUGGGCAAGUGCUUAUUCUUGGCUCCUCCUGAAAUCUGGAUGAGGUGUAUUUUUACCCCUGUUCUCAGGUAGGUAAAGAAUCUAUGUGAUGGAUUUGUGCAUUUGUAUUUUCAUCCUGUAGUAACCAGAAGUGGGUAUUUUGGGUGGAAAAGGGAGGUACGGACUGUGGCUUCU
This is an RNA transcript of Sus scrofa (pig), 2844 nucleotides long. It is a transcript of the gene named amyloid beta precursor protein binding family A member 3, with no coding region annotated. The record is from RefSeq and is a predicted model, not a curated record. Lineage: Eukaryota; Metazoa; Chordata; Mammalia; Artiodactyla; Suidae.